RNAcentral lists this ribosomal RNA (504 nucleotides) under uncultured bacterium. RNAcentral describes it as "bacterial SSU rRNA". It matches the Rfam family "Bacterial small subunit ribosomal RNA", at positions 24 to 518 of the family's 1533-position model. The record is from RNAcentral.
UCAGGAUGAACGCUAGCUACAGGCUUAACACAUGCAAGUCGAGGGGCAGCAUUGGGAUAGCUUGCUAUUCAGAUGGCGACCGGCGCACGGGUGAGUAACGCGUAUCCAACCUUCCUGCCAGUAGGGAACAGCCCGGCGAAAGUCGGAUUAAUGCCCUAUGUUCUUCAAUGCGGACAUCUAAGUUGAAGGAAAGAUUCAUCGCUGGCAGAUGGGGAUGCGUCCGAUUAGCUUGCCGGCGGGGUAACGGCCCACCGGGGCGACGAUCGGUAGGGGUUCUGAGAGGAAGGUCCCCCACACUGGUACUGAGACACGGACCAGACUCCUACGGGAGGCAGCAGUGAGGAAUAUUGGUCAAUGGGCGUAAGCCUGAACCAGCCAAGUAGCGUGCAGGAUGACGGCCCUACGGGUUGUAAACUGCUUUUAUGCGGGGAUAAAGUGCGGCACGUGUGCCGCUUUGCAGGUACCGCAUGAAUAAGGACCGGCUAAUUCCGUGCCAGCCGCCGC